RNAcentral lists this transfer RNA (77 nucleotides) under Ignisphaera aggregans. Its description in RNAcentral is "tRNA-Thr". It matches the Rfam family "tRNA". Rfam says of the family: Transfer RNA (tRNA) molecules are approximately 80 nucleotides in length. Their secondary structure includes four short double-helical elements and three loops (D, anti-codon, and T loops). The record is from RNAcentral. Lineage: Archaea; Thermoproteati; Thermoproteota; Thermoprotei; Desulfurococcales; Desulfurococcaceae.
GCCGCCGUAGCUCAGCGCGGUAGAGCGCCGGCCUUGUAAGCCGGUGGUCGCGGGUUCAAAUCCCGCCGGCGGCUCCA